GAGAUGGAUUGGUGCCUUCGGGAACUCGAACACAGGUGCUGCAUGGCUGUCGUCAGCUCGUGUCGUGAGAUGUUGGGUUAAGUCCCGCAACGAGCGCAACCCUUGUCCUUAGUUGCCAGCACGUAAUGGUGGGAACUCUAAGGAGACCGCCGGUGACAAACCGGAGGAAGGGGGGGAUGACGUCAAGUCAUCAUGGCCCUUACGGCCAGGGCUACACACUUACUACAAUGGUAGGGACAGAGGGCUGCAAGCCGGCAACGGUAAGCCAAUCCCAAAAACCCUAUCUCAUUCCGGAUUGAAGUCUGCAACUCAACUCCAUGAAGUCGGAAUC
RNAcentral lists this ribosomal RNA (331 nucleotides) under Pseudomonas sp. BV9. RNAcentral describes it as "bacterial SSU rRNA". It matches the Rfam family "Bacterial small subunit ribosomal RNA", at positions 1003 to 1333 of the family's 1533-position model. Lineage: Bacteria; Pseudomonadati; Pseudomonadota; Gammaproteobacteria; Pseudomonadales; Pseudomonadaceae. The record is from RNAcentral.